UGCUCUUCCUCUGUUUUCUCCUGAUGCUCGGCGACACUGUGGACACCACCUGUUUCUCAACAGCUGUUAACAUUGCAUGACUCAAAAAGACAAAACAAAAGAAAAAACAAAGAAACUUGGCAUUUUUUGUGCUGUUACUCCACAGCAGACAAACGGGAUGCGACUCCAUCCAGUCAGGAAUUCCUCCUCUGCAGCUCCUUCUGGGUUUUCUCCCAGUUUUCCCCACUCGCUUCGAGGGUCUAAGGACAGAGGGUCGAACGAGUGAUGUAAAUCAAACUGACUUGACCUCCUUUGUGGAUGACUGCUGUUGAAGUUCCCAGAGUUGGUGUUCAGCGGCCAUUUAAAGCUUCGGCCGUCACUGAAACUUCUGAAAACGUUCAAGAAGCACAUGAUGAAUUUCAUGCACAAGCAGCAUAUUUUCUCAUGAACAUGUGAUGGAGCAUACGGAGUGAGUCAAGCACAGCACCGAACUGCAGCAGCGAGCAGCGAGCAGAGGAAGAACGGCGACUGAACAUGUCGGCUAACCGCACAGAUGAGCUCCAAACCCCGAACACGAGCGAGGACGAGAAGCGAUGAAGUUAAUUUGGAAGGCGGAGGCUCACUCGCUUUGCGUGGACACACACUGUCUCAUUCAGGUUAUUAUUAUUAUGGGAAAUUAAAGUGCUGAAUGAACUGAUCGAGUUGUUUCUCACAUCAUGUUGCUGAACUUUGUGUCAGAGGCCUGAAAAAGAAGUUUUUCCCUCCAGAGAACAGUUUAGCAGCGAGAGGAAACAAUACGAACAAUUAAGAGUUUGAAUUGGUUAAACAUGUUUUUUAUUUUUUAUUGUAUGGAAGUUAUCUCUCUCCAUCAUCCAGUUUCCAUCCCUGCCAAGUGGCUUCCUGUCGCAUUGUGUCCUGGACGUGUGCGUCAGCGCCGUGUUGUGUGACUUUCAACACCUCUUCAUCGAGUCAACCUGACGGUGCACCUGCUGUGGCAGCACAACAGAAACUCAGAAGUGAACGACCUCCACCCGUAUGAUACAAUAAGUGAAAUCUGAAAUCUUUUUUAACGGGCCUGCACUGAAAUUCACAGAAAAACUAAAGCACACAUUUUGCAGAAAUCCUUCAGUGGUGGACACACUGUCUUCACAUCAAGCUCUCCUAAAAAGUGUGUGUAGUCUUCCUUUGAUAAUUUGGUCAGAAAUGAAGACGUUGGGAUUGUGUAGAUUAAAAGGAGGCCAGGCAUUACGGGGUUACGCAGCGGCGUCCCAGCAGCCUCGUUAGCUCACAGAGACAUCCGAAUCUCCACGUCCUUCACUGGGCCUCUUCCACAAUCCGACCUCUGACACUUUGUUUUCUGCUCUGAAUACACAGCAUUUACACACAGUCGCAUUUUGUCACGUGUGUGUGUGUUCAGUUAUACUGAAAAUGUGGAGGCUGAGUAACAUUCAGAACAGUCCAGGAUAACAUACACAAAUAAUCAGCCUGACCGGUGCACACAGCAACACGCAGGA
Scatophagus argus is the source of this 1493-nucleotide long non-coding RNA. RefSeq lists it as uncharacterized. The record is from RefSeq and is a predicted model, not a curated record. Lineage: Eukaryota; Metazoa; Chordata; Actinopteri; Scatophagidae. The transcript is spliced from 3 exons.